AGGAGAAGGAAGCUUGCUUCUUUCAAAUCUAGUGGCAAACGGGUGAGUAACACGUAAACAACCUGCCUUCAGGAUGGGGACAACAGACGGAAACGACUGCUAAUACCGAAUACGUUCCUUAGGUCGCAUGACUUUAGGAAGAAAGGGUGGCCUCUACUUGUAAGCUAUCACCUGAAGAGGGGUUUGCGUCUGAUUAGGUAGUUGGUGAGGUAACGGCCCACCAAGCCGACGAUCGGUAGCCGACCUGAGAGGGUGAUCGGCCACAUUGGGACUGAGACACGGCCCAAACUCC
RNAcentral lists this ribosomal RNA (292 nucleotides) under uncultured Dialister sp. Its description in RNAcentral is "partial 16S ribosomal RNA". It matches the Rfam family "Bacterial small subunit ribosomal RNA", at positions 67 to 339 of the family's 1533-position model. Lineage: Bacteria; Bacillati; Bacillota; Negativicutes; Veillonellales; Veillonellaceae. The record is from RNAcentral.